RNAcentral lists this ribosomal RNA (253 nucleotides) under uncultured prokaryote. RNAcentral describes it as "partial 16S ribosomal RNA". It matches the Rfam family "Bacterial small subunit ribosomal RNA", at positions 524 to 776 of the family's 1533-position model. The record is from RNAcentral.
GACGUAGGGGGCAAGCGUUGUCCGGAAUUACUGGGCGUAAAGCGCGUGUAGGCGGUUUGGCCAGUCCCGUGUGAAAGCCUCCGGCUCAACUGGAGGACGCCGCGGGAUACUGCCGGACUCGAGGACAGGAGAGGGAAGUGGAAUUCCCGGUGUAGCGGUGAAAUGCGUAGAUAUCGGGAGGAACGCCAGUGGCGAAGGCGGCUUCCUGGCCUGUCCCUGACGCUGAGACGCGAAAGCUGGGGGAGCGAACGGG